ACUUCCGGCUGUGUCGGCGCGCGAAAAAAGGAACCAAAGAGAAGUGAAGGAAUGUGUCCAAGGGCUCCCAAGUUGGCGGUGGAAUUAGAAUUGAAGCCUCAGCUCCAAAGCCUGUGUUCUGAACUACCCGGUUGCAGUUCACAAAAUACACUUUGGCAGUACUUUCAUAACGAAAACAAAUGAUUACAACCAGUUUACAAAUGCUUUGCUUUACUGGAGGAUCGACAUGUUUGACUAAUUUUCAAAAAU
Molecule: long non-coding RNA, 249 nt
Filed under: Homo sapiens (human)
Lineage: Eukaryota; Metazoa; Chordata; Mammalia; Primates; Hominidae
Description: non-protein coding lnc-TMEM243-1:6
Source: RNAcentral